Long non-coding RNA from Synchiropus splendidus (mandarinfish), 4523 nucleotides. RefSeq lists it as uncharacterized. The record is from RefSeq and is a predicted model, not a curated record. The transcript has 3 exons. NCBI's taxonomy places the organism in Eukaryota, Metazoa, Chordata, Actinopteri, Syngnathiformes, Callionymidae.
GCGGGGGGUUGUUAUGUUACGUGUGUGAGGCGGAGGAGCGGCGUGAGCCCGUCUGAUCUGACAAACGUGGAUUUAACUGAGCGUGAUGGGGCCGUGCUGGACACGCGAGCGGAGGAUGCAGAGUUUUCACUGGCAGAUCACAUGACCUGGAGGUUAUGAUGGGACACUUUGGUGUUGAUGGUGUCACAAGAUGAAUAUUGUUCAGAUGAAAUUCAAAUCACCAUUCACACAUUUUGAUGGAACAUCAGCAGUGGUGUUUCUCAGGAGGGAUCAUCCAUCAUCUCCCGUGAGGGCAGGAACAUGAGGAACCACCUUCACAUCCAUCUGACUCUUCAGUGUCGAAGUCUGUGUGCAGGUUUCUCCUCCUCAAACACAAACAUACUGCUCUCGAAGUUGAAGCCUUCAAGUUCAAAUCGAAAACAGCAGCCUUCCUCACGUAGGCUACAGCCCUCUGUAGACUCCCCAGUGGCAGAGCAACACACUAACAGAAGAGAGGGGGACCGAAGGUACCGUUGUCACAAUUGAUAAAAUAAACUUGUAAUUGUUGUGGUUUUAUCUGUCAAGUACAGGGUCUUCACUACAUAUAAAUGAUCGAGGUGCACUGCAACAGCUUAAGUGAGAGCCGCCAUACCUUGAGAGUAAAGACCGUAUCUAUACAAGCUGUUUAGAUACACAUGACACGUCAUGGAAGUGGACAUGAUUAUGGUUAUUUUUUGUGAGUUUUUAAUGGAAAAACACCAUAAUAACUAGAUGACAAGAAUGUGUCUGCAGCUAGUGGAACUGAUGGUAGUAGCGCAUCUGGCCCGACAUAUGAAGAGACAGCUGCUGAUUGAAAAACUCGUCUUUAUUGUCGCCAAUUCAAGACCUGUCAAAACUACCCCCUGCUCUAUGUCUUUUUGUUGGAUGGCUUCUUGUGCUAUAGGAGGGUUCUGCUGCGGUGGUUUGAAAAAAAUCCCGGCAGAAACCCUGAAAUUGUUAAACAUUGUUGCCAUAUAUGUCCAGGCCUACUACGACCAAGAGACCCUCAAGUUGCUCUUCCACUUUUCAGCAUGGUUUUUAAUGUACGGCCAGUCCAAGAAUGAAGCGAAAGCAAUGCUUUAGAAAUCAUAAAACGGAGGUUCCUACCACGUUGGACUGACACCUCCUGCCUAUGUUCAUCUCCGUGCCUUUUGUUGCUCUGACAUCAAGUUAUGAUGUGCUGCCUUCAUGGAGUGAACUCUCGCGUCCCUGAUCGGAUCAAGCGGCUUCACGUAUGUGUCCUAUCUAUUGCCAUCCAUCAGAUCCAUGUUCAAAAAAGACGGUCUGAAAUGUAGCUGAGCAGCACAUUUGAAAUGUGGGGCCAUAAAUAUAUGCAGGCAUAAGGGGAAUUCUAUACAUGUCACAUCUUGAAGACUGCCAUGAUAUGUUGCUUCCCCGUAUCAUCGGAGACGGCACAGGAAAUCUAAACAUGGCUGAUUUUUUUUUUUUUUUUUUUUUUAGCCAUCUGGUGUCGAUGCAUUCUCUCCGCCUCACUGUUGAGACAAGUUUGCCGGCGAAGAGAGAUGGGAGACGGCUUUUUGAAGACUUGAACAUCUUAUUUUUAGCAGUGAGGAGAGAACAUCACGCUGACAUGAGUAAUGGCACCAUCGGUCCCCUGUGACGGAGUGGCACUCACACCGGUGCCUCACCGUUUGCUGUCAGCGCUGCGGGGAUUUGACGCGCAGGCUCGAUUUUCUGGCUUCAAAGUCCCGCGGGAUGCGGCAGAGGACACACCGUCGGGUACAUUUUUACAUUUUUAUAGCACAAUCCUUAACUGUUAUUACAAAAGCUGGCAGGCCAUUCUUUGCUAUUAAAAUAAAAUGAAGAAGAAAAGUCCCCCCAUUUUUCAUUUUCAUUCCCUGCUGUUAAUCUAUGCGUCCGUCACCCCAUUUAUCACAGGGUUCACCUCAACUAGCCCUUUCUUCGACGUGUGUUUGCCUUUGUCCACGGCACUAAACACGGCCGGCUAAUUUUAUCUCUUCAAAUCGAUAGGCCAAAGGUUGUUUUCUUGCAAUUCAUUGCCUGCUUAAGUGAAAAGGAUGACUUGUUGAGCCGAGUGAGAGGUCAGGUCCUGCUCACGUGAGCGAAGAUAUUCAUUUAUGAUACGAGCCAGAAAAAGAGGGGACACUCACCCUCCAGUCCAACUGAGAGUAUUUGCCAUCAAUUUACUACAGGAACACAAGUACAUACUUGAUCAUGAGGCCUGGGUUCUUUCCCUUUUUAGUCAUAUUUGGACUUGAGACAGACUUCAUGAAAUCCCAAUGAUCUGUGGGGGCAAAGUCCGACCUUCCUGUGAGUCCAACGUGUGUGUGAGUCCCUGUCCUGUCCUGAAUCUGGGGCUUGAGCUCAGGCUACUCGUGAGGUGAGUUAUUGGUGGAUAUCUCCACCACCGUUGAGACUGAUGGUUCCUUGUUUUGGCAUCGAAACUCAGGAGUAAAGGCAAGAAAAAAGGCCCUACAUCAGGGGUCAGUAAGCUAUGGUUCACGAGAAAACGGAAUUACUGUGUUAGUCCGGUGAAGCGCGGACUUUAAAAGGCAUGGAAACAGCUUAGUCCAACUAAGGGAAAUCCAAACCACUACCUGAAUAAUGCGGUUAAUAGCUGGACUAAGCUAGCAUGUAGCCUAGUCGCUUGACUAUGUUGGACUGGGUGAUGUACGGGUGCGCGAGCUUCAGCUACGCAACAGAAGUAGACAAACUCCUAGACAGAUCACGGUCUAAUAACCUAAGAAGUAACCAGAAGUGCAGAAGUUCUCGGUCUCAGCCGAUGUCUGCGGUGAACACACGCGUUUUAUUACUCGCGACGCCGAUGGUCUGCCGUUGUAUAGGUUUUUCUUCAGCCGCUUUCACAUAGGGUGUUUUGAUCGUUUGUUCUCAGCUCAGAAAAUGUGAUUUGUUAAAGGAGACAGCAUUAAUUCCACGUUAGCAACCGUGAGCAUGGUUGCUACGCGACUCUGUGAGGACUAAAUACACCUUUUCCAAUAUUCUCUGGUGGGAGAAUCCCCCGAUGACCAGCCAGGUGUGAAUUAAAUGCAGAGUAUUUAUCAUUUGUGUUUGCCUCCAGAUCGAUUGACACGUUCGCCAGAAGGCGUUUGGGCGCAGAGAGGACUCCCCUCGCGAUAGUUUCACAUCUGUGCGAAACAUCUGUCGGCUCCCAAGGCCAGUGAGCUCACUGUGGGAGAGGUCAGCUUGAUCACACAGUGCAUUAAUAGACUGAAGUCUGACUGCACCUGCAGAGUCAAAACAUUCACUUUUCUGCAAGAGCAAUUCAUGGGAAGUACUGCAGAUAGAGGAGUUUGUCAGCAGCCUUCAUUUAAGGAUUAUCUAGUUUACAGUGACUGGAUUCUCAUGAUUUUUAAAUGCCUAGAAAAAAAACUCAAGAGAGAAAUAAAAGGAGUCUGCAGAACAGUGAACACUUCUUCAAAAAUAGGUCACAUUCGCGCUCAGCGGCUGCUACCUUGGGGCUGUUUUGUCUGGACCGCUACAGAAGAAAAUGGAGAAAUUUGGAAUCCAAGAAUUAUGCCGGCAUAUCAUGAUGUUUUUGAAUUAAAAGUUUUUAAUUUUAAUAAUCACAGAGUUACUAGUGGGAAAAAAAGUUUGUAGAUGAUGAGAUGCUGCUUCAUGGAUUUGGUCCAGUGUGUAGUUAGACUCAAAUACUGCAAAUUUCAUGAUGAAUGUUGAACAGUUUCCAUGGUCUCAUGGUCUCAGAACAUUUGAUGAGAGGAUCCACGUGCAGACGGAUGGCCAGAUCAUAAUCUUGAGGGUGGUGGAAGCUGGGCACCGGUUGUGGUCCAGAAUAGACCAGAAGAAUCUCAAGAACGAAAAUGAAACAUAUCUUGAGCCUUUUUAAGGCCCAUUUAUGCUCCCUAUACAUGUGAAAUUGUACCUGUGCUUUUCAAACCUGAUCAGAUACUUCCAUGCAUUCUUUACCUUGGCAUUGCUGGUCACCACUAUAUACCACCAGGGGGCCCAGAGUGAAGAGUUCAUGACAACGACAAACCCCAAAACCAACAUGGUGACUGAGGAAGAAGUAUUGAUGACAUACAUCUUGGACAAAAGAGGAGAAUGGAGGCGGCGGUGGUCGGUGAGGCCGCUUAAUAUAUUGCGACGAGAAUAUGGAGAGCUCUACGUAUCGGAUAGUAACAUGGUUUCUGGUGGUACUUCUCUGUUUGGUCUGUAAAAUUUGUGGAAACGUGCAGAAAUACGGACAAAAUAAAUGCAGAGCACGGACAGAAGGUUCCAUCCGUUGAGCAUAAAUGGUCCUUUAUAAGGAGCAGCACGAGCCAUGAGAAGCAUUGGGCAGUAGUUGUAUAGUAGUAGAUCAGACCUGGGCAAAGUGCGGCCCGGGGGCCAUAUGCGGCCCUUUUCUUGUGUUUUUGCGGCCCUCAUGAGGUCGGACUAAAACUAUACAACUGAUAAGUAGUCAUUUUGUCUUGUUUCUUUCUUAGCAUUACUAUUUCAAGAAUGAUUAUAACAUGUUCAGGACUUAAAUUUCUUUUCAUCUGCCA